CCUAACUACAACACAAAUCAAAGCUACAUAAUGUACUAGGUGGUCAAUAUUUGGAUUUAAAAAAAAAAUAAAUUUAGCAAAUACACACUGCUCAGUUUCUAUACACUAAGAAGUAAGGGGUAUUCUGUAUUCAACUUUUAAACAUUUUUAUAAUAGAUUACAUAUUAAAAUACUAAAUCAUUUCAAUAGGAAAUAAAUUUCUUUAUUUCUCAACAGUCGUUCUGGGUGGGUGGCUUUGAUCUUUUAAUUUUUCUAUUGUUUUUUGUUGUUGUUUUAGCGGAGCCAGCGCGGACACAGGCCACGCGUGGAGCUCCAUAGGAGCUACCAUAUAUAUAGGUAUAUAUGGUAAGCUAUGCGACUUGGUUUUGUGGUAAUCGCACGGUUACCCUGUGGUGUCACACAUCAGCCAGCCAGCCAGUAAUCCAGCCGCGCAACUCUCAGGCCCCUCUUGGUCUUACGCUUUUGUGUUUUUAGUUCAAAGUUUGUAUCUUCACAGAAAAAAAGGCAGUAUUUAAUGAGAAAAUAUGCGGAUUCAAAUGGAAUGAAGUCAUUUAGGAACCGUUUUGUCUGAAGUACGAGUCGAUAGUAAAAUCUACUCUAGUAUUCGUGAAUCCCGCCCGUCGCAACUGCUAAAAAGAGGACUAUAGAGGAGGACUAUGGAGGAUCUACAUUUCCAUUGUAUAUUCAUUCACGUCUAAAUUUAUGUAAGGAGAUCCUGAGAAGAAAGGGCCUUGAUGUUUGUUUUCAGCUAUAAAAAUCAUUCGCUUGUGUCGACGAGUUCCUUGCUAGCAGAAAUUCAACGACUUCACAGUUUACAACAAAAGCGAACAACACAACAACAACAGAAAGGGAAAAAAACUGCCAAGGUAAAACCAACCAAGGACUACCUGAGGGCCAUGAUUGAUUCUAAAGGCUGGAAGGCAUAAUAAUAGG
Molecule: long non-coding RNA, 933 nt
Organism: Nematostella vectensis (starlet sea anemone)
Lineage: Eukaryota; Metazoa; Cnidaria; Anthozoa; Actiniaria; Edwardsiidae
Exons: 2
Source: RefSeq, a predicted model, not a curated record